AGGGGUAUAGUUCUUCGGAGCUAGAGACCGGCGCACGGGUGCGUAACGCGUAUGCAAUCUACCUUUUACAGAGGGAUAGCCCAGAGAAAUUUGGAUUAAUACCUCAUAGUAUGUGAGAAUCGCAUGGUUUUCACAUUAAAGUUCCAACGGUAAAAGAUGAGCAUGCGUCCCAUUAGCUAGAUGGUAAGGUAACGGCUUACCAUGGCGACGAUGGGUAGGGGUCCUGAGAGGGAGAUCCCCCACACUGGUACUGAGACACGGACCAGACUCCUACGGGAGGCAGCAGUGAGGAAUAUUGGACAAUGGGCGCAAGCCUGAUCCAGCCAUGCCGCGUGCAGGAUGACGGUCCUAUGGAUUGUAAACUGCUUUUGUACAGGAAGAAACACUCCCUCGUGAGGGAGCUUGACGGUACUGUAAGAAUAAGGAUCGGCUAACUCCGUGCCAGCAGCCGCGGUAAUACGGAGGAUCCAAGCGUUAUCCGGAAUCAUUGGGUUUAAAGGGUCCGUAGGCGGUUUAAUAAGUCAGUGGUGAAAGCCCAUCGCUCAACGGUGGAACGGCCAUUGAUACUGUUAAACUUGAAUUAUUAGGAAGUAACUAGAAUAUGUAGUGUAGCGGUGAAAUGCUUAGAGAUUACAUGGAAUACCAACUGCGAAGGCAGGUUACUACUAAUGGAUUGACGCUGAUGGACGAAAGCGUGGGUAGCGAACAGGAUUAGAUACCCUGGUAGUCCACGCCGUAAACGAUGGAUACUAGCUGUUGGGCGCAAGUUCAGUGGCUAAGCGAAAGUGAUAAGUAUCCCACCUG
Molecule: ribosomal RNA, 804 nt
Filed under: uncultured Bacteroidota bacterium
Lineage: Bacteria; Pseudomonadati; Bacteroidota
Description: bacterial SSU rRNA
Rfam family: Bacterial small subunit ribosomal RNA
Source: RNAcentral